UAACAAAUGAGAUUAGUUCACCAUCAUCAUGACAGAACUAAGUGUACAAUGGAAUGAAAGAGAUAGAAACCCUAGAAAGAGAAAAGGAGAGUUGUCAAUUCCCCAAUUUUGCCCUCAAAGGGGUGAAAAGUGUGUUUCUGUGCCUAAACCAUUAAAAGAUACAUUCUCUAAGACGUUCUGGCCUUUAAAUAGGGCAUAAAUAUAACAGAAAACGGGUCUAGGACCAAAGCAGGUCAUAAAAAUAAUAGAAAAACAGGCCCAGGUCCAUGCAAAUGGCACUCGGUGCUCAAAAUACCGCUCAGUGAUGGGUGCGGCACUGAGAAUCACCCCCCAGCGGUGCCCAGGCGUCAAAAAAGUGAAAAACUUGUCCCAAAGUUGGUGCUCAGCGCUACCUUUUCUGCACUCUGGUCAACUUUUCAGCAUUCUGGUUGACUGUUGACUUUCUGCAUUUUGUUUGACUUUUCUGCACAGUAACUCCUUGAUACUUCAACCCUUAUUUCAAAUCAUUCCAAAAACCUACAAAAUCAAGGGAAUUUAUUGAUAAAAUCAUAAAACAUAUCCUCAACUCUCUUAUUCACAAAACUAAACCAAAAUCAUGAGUCAAAGCAAGUUUCUAAGUCAACAAGGGUGCAUUUAAUAUCAAAAUUAAGUAUAAAAAUAACGGUUUUUCAAUCGUUAUCAUAAAUCACUUCCUUUUUCGUGUCAUAUGAUCGAGGCUAUUUUUUAUUAUCCCUUUCUUAGCCAAUGCAUGAUAUUUAUCCCAAUAAAAAAAAUGGGGCACAAUGUGUUCUAUCCUUUGAACCUUGAACCUUAAGCAUGAUUUGAAAAGAAACCCUUUUGCAAAAAUCUUUACCUUGAGUUAAGUUGAGAACAUUUGUGUGGUGUUGAUAAAGGUUCAAGUUUGGGGUUUGUUGGAAAAUUUGAAAAAGAAAAUAAAUAAGCAUUGAGCUAAGUGUUGAGCAAGUAUGAAAAGCAAAAAGAAAAGGAAAGAUGAAUGAGAAAGAAAGCAAAGCUCAAUGCAAGGGAAAAUUGGGAAAAAUGAGAAUGGUUUGUCUAAAGAGAGAUUGUGCUUGAAUUCGAAAAUUUGAAUGUCUCUCUUAACUCAAAGAUUUUGUGAUCCAGAAAAACCAAUGUUCUUCUUAGCCCAACCACGUUACUAGCCAUGAAAAGUCCUUGUGAUGAUAACUUGCUUGUGAGUAUGAUUGAUUGUGGUCAAAUGAAAGGAAAAGUUAAUUUAUGUGACAUUAUGAUAGUAGAGUGAAUGAGUGACCUUAUUAUACACCUGUGUGUUUCAAUGAAACACUUUCCUUGGUGAGGAGUAGUUCCAUUUAUACAUGAUUGCAUUUUCUUGGUUGAUUGAUCAUUCAUGAUAAUAGCAUUUGUUGGAAAUUCUGUGAUUGUGUGAAAGCCAUAAUAAGUUUGAAUGAAGGAAUGCAUUUGAACAUCUUGACGGACAUUGGUAUGAUAAGCUGACAGUGGUUACUUGUCUUGGAAGUAAGAGUUUUGAAAUGUGUUAACCCAUUCCAUUGAUUGUGUGAAAGUAGAGUUACAUCUUGUUUUGCUUGAACACAAGUAAAGUUCUAAGUUUGGGGUUGUGAUAAUGGGUGAAAACACUGUUAUUUGAUACUUAAUUUUGAUACUAAUCACACCCUUUUUGACUUAGAAACUAGCUUGAAAUCAUGAAUUUGCUUAAGUUAGGGGAAUCAGAGAGUUGAAGGUUAACCAAUUGAUUUUAUGCUUAGAUUUCCUUAUUUUAAUAGGUAUUGAGAUGAUUUGGAAGAAGAGUUGAAGUAACAAGGAGCUAGAACUCAGAAGAACUAGAAAAGCAUCAUGAAGAGGAGUCGCAAUCCACGCUUGUGCGCCCUUUUAGGGGCCCUCAACGCAGAUACUGCUUAGGCGCCAAUCUAGGGGGUGUUAAGCGCAACUUUGAGCCGCAAUUCUUGCGUGGGCGCCCUUCCAAGGGCGUUGAGCGCCAUUAUUCAUUGUUUCACGACUGGGCGCCCUAAGUGGGGCGCUGAGCGUAGGUGACUAGGCUUGGGCUGUGUUUUCUGUUAUUUUUACGAGCUAUUUAAUGAUUUCGACGACCUAGAGAAGGUAUCUUUUGACAGAAGAGGCACAUAAACACUCCCUUCCAUCCCUUGGAGGAGGAUUUUGGAUGCGAAAGUUCCAAUCUUCAACUUUUAGGGUUUUAUCUUUCAUUCUUUUCCAUAUUUCAUCUAGUUUCACCAUGUCUAUGGUGAACUAAACUUCAAUUGUUGUUGGGGAAACGAUGUAAUCCUUUGAAACUCUCAUGUAUUGAAUUGAUUUAUAUUAUAAAUGUUUUACUUCAUUAAUUGUUAGGGAUUUUCCUUUAUGCUCUAUGCUCUCUUUGUUUAACUCAUUCAAUAGCAUGAUUAUUGAUUUUGUUGAUAUGGACACAUACAGGGAAAUCUAGAACUGGGGAAACUCUACCAAAAGCAGUAUUACCUAAACAUAGGGAUAUGAGGGUUGGUUGCCUUUAAGCUCCUACGCUUCAGAAUUAAUUAUUAGGAAUGCUAGGAAUUGUAUGAACUCGUAAUUAAGGAUAGGCUUUCUUCACCGAGACAUUGGGUUUUAAGUAUUUUAGAGAGUGGCAUUAACAUUAAUGAAGAAGACGAAAUCAUAAAUAUAUGAGAGUGGAUAGGAUAAGUCGGAAACCCCAACAACAUAAACAUUCCAUAUUUUAUACACCAAUCACAUGUGCAUUCUUAUUGUCAAUUGAUCAACACUUGCAUUCAUAUUUAUUUUUUGCAUUAUAAACUCAAUGAUUUUAUUUUCAGGUCUUAAUUAAUCAAGAAACCACAUGAAUGUCUAGGCCGUGACUCUCUAGGGAAAACGAUACUUGGUCUUGCCAAUUAUAUUACUUGAUACGAUUCGAUACACUUGUCUAGUCUUAACAGCAGCUAAAGUCUAUAUUUAUUUUGUUUAUAGCUCGAAUCCUUCAAGAAUAUAAUAUUAAAUGUGUUUAACAAUGUCACCGCUUCAGGAUGUUUCCAAAAGAGGUCACUAAUAACCUCUUAUUCGUUGACACACCUGCUCCAAUGAAUGAAUGUACUUAUCACGAUCCAACAUCAUCAUAAGUUAUUGUAGUUUAGUUCUGGACCCUUUCAAUCAUCGUUUAUAUGCAUGCCUUGUGUUAUAGAUUUGUUUAAUCGUUGUGACAUUGCGAUCAUUAUUUUCUUUCAGGGUUAAUAAAAUAUUUGCAUGGUGUAACUUUAGUCUUAGUCAUAUCAACGAGUAAUGAUUGUUCACUCGGAUUUAACUUGCCAACAUAAGGGUGGGUGACCAACUAAAGUUUCAGCUAAAUCAUGGUUGUGAUGUCCACACGUCACCUUUAACACCCAUUCGUCCCAUCAGAAGAUGGUUUACCAUUUAACCUAUACAAACAAUCACAUUUUCGAGUUCCGUAUACACUAGCCUCCACAUCGGGUUUGUAUUUUCGAUUUUUCACACCUCUUUCACAUCUAAGUAAGACGAACGUUUUUUUUCUUCGUACACCAGUAACUUUGUCAGACCUUGUUAUAAUCACGACAAAUCCUAGAUCAUGAGGCAUCCCUCUCACCCAUUCAAUUAAGUGAUCACAAGAAGAAAAUAUUUCAUUUGUAGUAAAAUUAUUUCUGAAAUCUCCCUCUCCAGCUUCUUUUAUGAAAAAAGAAAAAUCUUAUAUAAAACUAGAAUGAACUUGAGAAUCCAUAGCAUGACGAUAUUUUUUCGUUUUAAGCAAUAUUCAGCUAUAACAUAAUAUUCACUUUUAAUAACAUAAUUCAUAAUUAAUUAAAAUAAUAUAAAAAUUAAUAAAUAUUAUCUAUAUAAUUAUUAAAUUAUUAAACAAAUAAAUACAAAAAUACAAAAAUAUCUAAUAAUCAUUAAAUUAAUAAACAAACAUUAUAAAUAAUCUAUAUAAAUCAUAUAUAAAAUUUAUAACAAAUUAAAUUUAACAAACAAAUCAUUAUGAUAUAAUAAACAAUUAAAAUAAAAGAAUAAUAAAUAAAUCAAUCAAUCGAUGAGGUCUGAAACAGAUUUCAAAAUUUAUUGAAGACCUUCUAAGAUAUCGAAAUUCAUGAACCGAUUUUAAAAUAUGUCGAAGGUCUCUACGAAUUUCGCAUACCUGAGACGAGUUGUUGCAACCCACCACCACGAGAAACCUUCACCACACCACCUUGUUGCAUCUAUAAGCUGUUACAUCACAACAAGAACGAACCUUUUGCACCACUAGAAGCACACCAUCACGCACAAAG
RNAcentral lists this long non-coding RNA (4256 nucleotides) under Vigna radiata. RNAcentral describes it as "long non-coding RNA (VRAD_LNC002668)". The record is from RNAcentral. Lineage: Eukaryota; Viridiplantae; Streptophyta; Magnoliopsida; Fabales; Fabaceae.